GAUGAACGCUGGCGGCGUGCCUAACACAUGCAAGUCGAGCGAACGGACGAGAAGCUUGCUUCUCUGAUGUUAGCGGCGGACGGGUGAGUAACACGUGGAUACCCUACCUAUAAGACUGGGAUCACUUCGGGAAACCGUAGCUAAUACCGGAUAAUAUUUUGAACCGCAUGGUUCAAAAGUGAAAGACGGUCUUGCUGUCUCUUAUAGAUGGAUCCGCGCUGCAUUAGCUAGUUGGUAAGGUAACGGCUUACCAAGGCAACGAUGCAUAGCCGACCUGAUAGGGGGAUCGGCCGCCUUAGAGCGUGGACACGGUCCAGACGCCUACGAGAGGCAGCAGUAGGGAAUCUGACGCAGUGGGCGGAAGCCUGGCGGAGCGAGGCGACGUGAGUGAUAGAGAUCUUCGGAUCGUGAAACUCGGUUAUUAGUGGUGAACAUAUGUGUAAGUAGCUGUACACAGCGUGACGGUACCUAAUCAGAAAGCCACGGCUAACUACGUG
Molecule: ribosomal RNA, 497 nt
Filed under: uncultured bacterium
Lineage: Bacteria
Description: partial 16S ribosomal RNA
Rfam family: Bacterial small subunit ribosomal RNA
Source: RNAcentral